This 465-nucleotide ribosomal RNA is filed under the name Vreelandella stevensii. Its description in RNAcentral is "partial 16S ribosomal RNA". It matches the Rfam family "Bacterial small subunit ribosomal RNA", at positions 338 to 795 of the family's 1533-position model. The record is from RNAcentral. Lineage: Bacteria; Pseudomonadati; Pseudomonadota; Gammaproteobacteria; Oceanospirillales; Halomonadaceae.
CCUACGGGAGGCUGCAGUGGGGAAUAUUGGACAAUGGGCGAAAGCCUGAUCCAGCCAUGCCGCGUGUGUGAAGAAGGCCUUCGGGUUGUAAAGCACUUUCAGUGGGGAAGAAAGCCUUGGGGCUAAUACCCUCGAGGAAGGACAUCACCCACAGAAGAAGCACCGGCUAACUCCGUGCCAGCAGCCGCGGUAAUACGGAGGGUGCGAGCGUUAAUCGGAAUUACUGGGCGUAAAGCGCGCGUAGGCGGUCUGAUAAGCCGGUUGUGAAAGCCCCGGGCUCAACCUGGGAACGGCAUCCGGAACUGUCAGGCUAGAGUGCAGGAGAGGAAGGUAGAAUUCCCGGUGUAGCGGUGAAAUGCGUAGAGAUCGGGAGGAAUACCAGUGGCGAAGGCGGCCUUCUGGACUGACACUGACGUUGAGGUGCGAAAGCGUGGGUAGCAAACAGGAUUAGAUACCCGAGUAGUC